Molecule: non-coding RNA, 1502 nt
Organism: Rattus norvegicus (Norway rat)
Lineage: Eukaryota; Metazoa; Chordata; Mammalia; Rodentia; Muridae
Source: the annotation of a RefSeq genome assembly
ACACCUGUAGAGCAAUCUGAUGACAUUGUGCAAAAGUGGAGCAACAGAAUCUUACCAAAAAUCUUUUGAGAGCUCAGUCCCUAAAGUUACAUACACAGCCUCUGCUCAGAGUACAAGUGUAUGGGAUGCAUUUCCUCAGAGAGGAUUAGGAUUUGGACCUGAGCAUCCUGUUGCCUGACCGAUGUGCCUUUAAGUCCUUCCCCUCCAGUUCUUUUCCUGGUAGACUAGGUUCUUAUAUAAGAAUUUACCUGGUCAUUAAUUACCUGGGUCUAUAGUUGUACAUACAGGGAUGUCCACAGUGUGUAAAUAACCUAUGGUUAGUGUCCUCUCCACAGUCCCUGAGCACAGUGACUCUAACCAUGGAAUGGAGCUGGGUUUUUCUCUUUUUCCUGUCAAUAACUGCAGGUGUCCACUUCCAGGUGCAGCUGCAGCAGUUUGGACCUGAGCUGGUGAAGCCUGCAUCUUUAGUGAAAGUCUCCUGCAAGACUUCUGGCUACCCUUUUGCCUAGUAUGAUAUGCAGUGGGUAAAGCAGAGACCUGGACAGGGUCUGGAAUGGAUUGGAGCAAUUGCUCCUGGAAGUGAUGGUACUGCCUACAAUCAGAAGUUGUAGGCAAGGGCACACUGACUGCAGACAAAUCCUCCAACACAGCCUACAUAGAACUCAGAAGAUUGACAUUUGAGGACUCUGGGGUCUAUUACUGUGCAAGACACAGUGUUGUUACCACAUCCUGAAUGUGUCAGAAACCAUGUGGGAGCAGCAAGCUUCCAUGGGACUGAGAUGAGAGAGAAGACUAAUAUCUAGCCUUGCUCAGGAAUAGUAAUUUUGAAUGUCCAUUUAUUGCCUCCUCCUCUAAUCCUAUAGUGCCUUUGUCCUCUUUAUAAAUGAACUUGUAUGAAUAAAGUGAUGUUAUUUGGAUAACCAUACAAUUCACCAUACCUUGUGAAUCACUUCACUAUUUACCACUUUUAUUGGCAUGUUUCCUAUUCAAUAAAACAAUAAAAAGUGAAAAGAAUUGUGAUGCAUGUUAAAAAUAUCACAAGAACCCGAGAGAGCCGUAUUUGCAAUUGUUGGGAAUAAUGUAUGAUAUGAAUUUGACCUAUAAAAUCUAAAUCACCAACACAGGCAAGCAAACACUCCUUCAUAGUCUCAAUGACUUCAGGUGUAUUGUGAUCACUUGCCGCGUGUUCCAGCAGAAAUUCCAGUCUUUUAGAAUUUGAGAAAUAUUCAUCAGAAUGCACAGGCAUGCAAAUAUAUUUCCUGUUCAUUGGUCAAAAUAUUACCAAAUCACUUUUCAUCAAACUGCUUAACCAACACAUGUAUAUACUUGUUGAUUGAGGUAGGUUCUGAGAUUAAGGAUAAGAUUUGGUCCCAUAUUUACUUCUUCCCAUUCCCAGUAAUCAUACCUAAUCACUACCCUCUUUGGAACAUGGACCUAUAGAGAUAACGCAUCAACUCUCAUACUCAUUACAUAUCUCUUGCCCAGCUUUGUUCUACAGAGCA